CUCGAGUGUCGCGUGUUCACGGGUGACGUCAGGACAGUGUUGUGGUUGUGGUGGUCCAGCUGGUGUGGUGCUUCAUGGGGCGCUCCUGACUCGCUGUUUCCUGACCCACCAUGUCCCAGGAGUCCAGAUAGCACCUGCAGUGUAGGAGAUGUGGUGGGGAGGCUCAGAGGAAGAGCAGGUGGGGGACCCCCCACCUGCAGACACCGAGCCAGAAGCAAGCACAUCUACUGAGGACCCACUUGUGGUUAAACAGGAGCUAGGAGACCUCAAGGAGCAGUUUAACCAGCAACAAGCCUUGAUUGGUCACCUGAAGACCAUGCUGAAGGACAAGGAUGCCUCCCUUUCAUCAAGAGAAAAGGAAGUGGAGGACCUCGCAGUCAGGUUGGCUAAAAUGAAACCUCGACUUGAGAGAGGUGAUGCUAAGAAGAAAACUGUUCAGCACUCAGAUAAAGGAGAGCAACAAGAAGCAGUAGGAGGUAUGGUGCUGCCCAAGCAAAGAUUAGAGGCAGGGGUUAAAAGUGGAGGUGAGGAGAAAUCAGUAGAGAAGAGGUUGCCAUCAUCUGAAAGUAGUAGCAGAGCAAAGAUUCUGCUUCUCAGAAAACAGCUCGAAGAAAACAGACAGAAAUUUGAGCGUCAACAAAAAGAUAAUGCAGAAAAACGAGCAACUAUGGAGGAGAUGAAACAAAGGAUAGAUAAGCUACGAUCAGAAGUUGAACAGCGAGACAGUCUUAUCCAUUCCCUUCAGGAAGGAAGCAGCUCUAUGACAGAUGAAACAAUGACACAAAAACUCUUGCAGCAAAUCCUGUACAAAGACAAUACUCUUCUUGAACUCACACAAAAGGUGGAACGUUUGGAAGAAGUAAUCCAGGAACAACGAGAAUCUUUAAAUGAAAAGGAUAGACUGAUAGAGUCAAGAACUGAAGCAGUGACAUUGGUUGCAAAGGCUGAGAAUGAGAAAAACUUAAAGACCUUACAAGAACUGGAAGAAGUUAGAUAUCAAAUGAAAAAGAUGCAGGAGGAAUUUAUUGCAAAAGAAGAGACUUUUGUGAAUGAGAAAGAAGCUCUAACUAGGGAGAUUAAAGAAAAAACUAAGAAAGUCAAACAGCUUGAAGACAAUGGGCGUCGACUUGAAAACCUUAGAUUUGAGCUCAGUACCCGUAAUGCUGAACUUCAAGAAAAGAUUGUGACAAUGCAGGCAGACAUUAAAUCACUUAAAAGUCAGGCAGAAAUGGACAGAAAUAAUUCUGAAGAAAAAGAUGCUUUUGUGCAAGAUUUAAAGCAAAAAUUAGUUAAAGCAGAAGCUCAUGGUCAGAAAAAGCUCAGAGCACUGGAAAAACAACUUAAAAGCUUAAAAUUGGAUGGUAAAUCUGGUGAGCAAAUACUGGAGCUGCAAAAUUCAAUUGCUGAACUAGAAGAGGAGAAAGGAAAUUUACAGCUAAAGCUGGUUGACUUUGAUGACUUAAAGGCUGCCAAUGAAAAAUUGAUCCUUCAAAGAAACAAGCUUGAGGAACAAAUAAAACAGCAGAACAAUGACCUAGAUUCACAACUUAGUGCAAUUACCUUGCUGGAAACUGAAAAAAUUAAACUAGUUGAGGGGACAAAUGAACGUGAAAAUCGCAUCUUUGAUCUUGAAACUGAAUUAGCAGCCACAAAACAUAGCUUAACAGAAAGUAAUCAGGCAAUGGUUACUCUUGAGUUGAAACUUUGUGAAAUUGAAGAACAGAGAGAUGUGGCUGAAAAAGGAAAAGCAGAAUUGGAAAGCCAGAUGUCAGAGUCAAACAUCAUUUCUAAUGAUCAACUCAAGGCUGAAAAGGCCAGCUUGGAAGAAAAAAUUCUGAGUAUUUUGAAAGAAAGAGAUGAAUGGCAAGAAAAGUUUUCUGAUCAGAUUGCUACUGUUGAAGAGUGUAAAGAAAGAGCAAAAAGUGCUAUGCAGGAAAUGGAAGAGAAAAGUAAAGAAUGCAAACGUCUUAUGAACAUUCUUACUGACAAAGAGAAUACUAUUACAACCAUGUCUAUAAGGAUAGACAAACAUGACUCAGUCAUUGCUGGUAUUGAAGAAAAAUUAUCAACAUCCAUAAAAGAAAGGGAUGAGAAAAAAGUAGAGUUAGAAGAAAUUAAUAUAGUGCUAAUGAAAGAAAGAGAAAUUAUAGAAGAAUUAAAGUCACAGCUUGUUGCAAAAUCCACUGAACUUACUUCUAAGGAAGAGGAGUUAAUGACAGUCAGGCAAAGUGUUGAAACCCUGAACAGAACAGUAAAUGAAAGAAAUAUAAGCGUACAGAAUCUAGUUGGAGAAGUUUCUUCUUUACAAGAUGAAGUUAAUGCAAAGGAUAAAUCUAUAAAUGAUUAUAUUGAUAAACUUGAAGAACUAGAAACUCAUUUACUUCAGCAAGACACCAGGAUAGAAGAACUUCAUUCCUUAUGCACACAGACAGAACAGCAGCUGAAUGAGGAAAACAAAGAAUGUGUAAAAUUAAGAAAUGAACUCACCAAUUUAUCUCAGAAAUAUGAAACAACAAAGUCUUCUCUAGAAUCUGAAUUAAAUGUUAUGGUAUCAAUGAUGAAUGACUACAAAAACCAGAUAGAAGCUACUGAUGCAGAAAUAAAAGUAAAGGAAAAAGAAAUACAGAAUAAUCAGACUGUAAUUUCCAAGUAUGAAGAAGAAAUUUGUUCCAAAAACUUGUUAAUAGAUGAGAUUGAGGCCAAGAAUAGAUCCUUGCAACAAAACCUUGGUGAACUAAGCAUGGCUCUAUCAGAAAAGGAAACUUAUGUAUCAAAAAUGCAGACUGAAAUGGAAGAACAUACAGCUCAUAUUGAAAGUUUAAAUGAGCAGAAUGCAAACUUGGAAAAGAGACUGAUGGUAUUGCAAGAAGAAAAGUCACAAUUAACACAAAUAAAAGACAGUCUUCAAGAAGAAGUAAAUGAAACCAAAUCCAUAGUGCAUCAAAAGGAAGAGAACUUACUUCACUUAAACACAGAAAUAGCAAGCAAAUCUCAUGAAUUAAUGAAUGAAGUUGACUUUCUUAAAGUAGCACUAGAGGGAAAAGUUCAGGAAAUUGCAACACUGCAAAACUCAGUUGGAAGCCUUACAGCUGACUUGGCGACAAGAACAUCAGAGGUAGAGAAGUGGCAGACCGAAGCCUUAGAAAAGAGUAACCAUCUGGCUGAGGUGACACAUGCAUUAGACUCUGCUCGUCUCGAGAUACAAGGAAAAGAUUCAACAUUGAGUGAAUUGUACACUUGUAUGGAACAGAACAAGGAAAAUCUUGCACUUGCUGAAGAACAGAGAAAUCAUGCACAAAGGCAGCUAUGUGAACUUCAGGAAAGCUUUAAAGUCAAAGAAAGGGAACUUAUAGAAACUCAGAAUGAGCUAAGUGAGACUCAAACAGCACUGACAGAGGCAAGGCAACAUUUUGAAAAGUCACAAGAAGUACUGACUGCUGUCCAGACUGAGCUACAGGAAACACAAGGUCAGUGUCAGAAUAAUUCCUCAGUAAUAUCCCAGUUGGAACAAGAACUACAGUCAAAAUCAGCUAACAUGAAAACAGCUGAAGAACAAAUGGUUGAUCAGUUAGAAAACACUAAGAAAGAAUUACAAAUAGUAAAUGAUGAACUGCAGACACAAAAAUCAAAGGUUGCUGAAUUGGAGAAAGAGGUUCAGGCAAGUAGACAGUAUGCUGAGAACCUGGAAAUAGGAUCAUCCAAAAUCCAGGAAUGGGCUACAGAACUGCAGACUGAAUUAGAAACCAUAAAGACAGAGCAAAUUUCUGUUCAGAAUGAAUUAACAGCUGUUAGAGAAGAAUUAUCAUUAAGAAAUAAUAAGCUUGAGAACCUUCAGUUAGAAUUAGAACAAGAGAGGCAGACUGCACAAUCCCUGCAAGCUGAACUAUCUCAUGCUCUCUCCCUUAGUUCACAAAGUGAGAGUGAAGGGAAAGCAGUUUCACUCUCUCAACAGCAGAAAAUCAGCCAGCUGGAAAAUGAACUAUUAUUGGUUUCACAGACUCAUGAUCAGCUGGAGGCAGAAAUUCAAGAAAAAAGUCAACUUCUGCUGAGCCAGACUGAUUUGAGCAUUGAGCUGAAUGAUAAUAUUGAAAGCCUCAAGUCAACCAUUCAUGCAAAAGAUGAAGAAAUACAAACAUUACACAGUUCGUUACUUGAGACUCAGAAGGCAAAAUCUGAACUUGAGAAUUCUCUAAAAGAAAUUAAGGAAACAAAAGAACUAAUUGAGGGUAAUGUAGCAUCACAAAUACCUCCUUCUUAUAUUGGCGAUCAAAAAGAUAGCACAGCAAUAAGCCUGAAAAAUGACCUGACAGAAGCACAAAACCAGUCAAAACUCUUGGAAGCUGAGCGCAUUUCUCUUUGUGCCAAUGUAGAAACUUUAAAACAACAGCUGCAGGAGGCCCGGCAAACAAUCACCCAGCUUCAGACUUCCCUGGGCAGCUCAGCAACACCACAGCCCGAGUGGGAUGACUGGGGGGAGGUAGAUUUAGGCGCACCAGAUUCACAGGAGAUUGUACCCGUUGCAGAAAACACUGACAUUAUCAACCUUAAGAAGUCUUUAGCCGACAAAGAUGAAUUGUUGAGAAUGAUACAAGAACAGCUUAAAGAAGCUUUGCAGCAAGUGAAUACUUUCUCAGAAGAAAAGAAAGUUUUAGAACAGCAACGGAGAAGUGAUGAAGCUACUAUUGUUCAGCAACAGCAACAACUGGAACAAGAUCAGAAUGAAUUAUCUUUGAUGAAAAAACAAUUGGAAAGUCUGAAUGAGGCUCAGAAUGCUUAUGAGCAAGUAAAUCAAAGAAUUUCUGAGCUUGAAGAAAAAUUAGCUGGAAAGCAGCAAGAAAUUGAGGUACUUCAGCAGGAAAUUACCAACAGAGAUUCACAUAGAAAUAUUCAAGACCAACAGCAUCUUCAUACAUCAAAUAAAGAUUCAAUUCAGGAAACAUCCAUUAGUCAUUCCACUGGAGAAGUAAGUGCUGUUUGGCCAUCAAGUGAAAUAGGUGCAGGAGAGGAAGUAAAGCCACCAACAGCUGUGGAAACUCAGGAAGCUACCAUGCAGUGGGAACACCCUACUGGAGAUAAAUCCCUUUCCUUAUUGAGCACAGCAAAUGUAGAAAGCAGUGAACAAGAUCCAGCAAGUUGGUUUGAUCAACAAGCAUUUCCAGUAGCAGACACUGCAGCACCUCAAGAGCCUUUAACUAAACCAUAUCCAGAACAAACCCAGACCCAUUCCCAGCCUCAAGUUGAUAUUGAGGAGAUGCAGUAUAAACUUUCCUGGUAUGAAGAACAGUGGUCCACCUGGACUGGCCAUUACACUCAGUUGCAGACAGCCCAUCAAGAAGCACAGCAGCAGGUUGUUCAAUUAACACAGCAGUUACAAGAACUCCAGCAUUCAGCACCACCUGUGCCUGAAAAAACUACUUCCUGUGAUCCUUUGUCAGAUAAAGAUGAAGAUAUGUUAAAUAAACAAAAACAAAUAGAUGAACUACAGAACAAGCUUUCUGAGAUAGAGGCAACUUAUGAACAACUCAGAGAAGAAAAUUCUAAACUGCAGGAAGAAUUAGAAAAUUUGAAGUGUCUCAAAGCACAAAUCGAUCCAGCAUCAGAUUCAGGUGUAAUCACAUCUCGUUUAGCAGAGGCCGAAGCAGAAGUAGACCGUUUGCGAGGGUUCGAGACUCAAGUAUAUGAACUGCAGAGUCAGGUUCAGGCACUCCAGCAUCAGUGUGAUGCCAUGCAAAACAAAUUAGCUGAAGCAGAAAAUGAAAGGACUCGCCUACAUGAAAUUGAAGUUCUUUAUGGUGAAUUACAGUCUUGCAUACAGGAGUCUGAGACCAAGAGGGAAGGCUCAAAAUCCCGGGUGCAGGAGCUGGAAUUAAUGGUGCAGUCAGCCGAGUCUGAAAUUGCACGGCUUAGAAAUGAAAUUGAGGUGCUUAAUCAAGCCAGUGAGGUUGUGCAAAGUGACAGAGAGAAACUUGAAACAGAUGCCCAGGGUAUGGGAGUGGAGAUGACUAAGUUAGACUGUGAGAUUCAGCACCUGCAGAGUGAGGUGAAAUUAUAUAAAAAGGAAAUAGGAAAACUGCAGAACGAUAAUGAACUGUAUAAAGCUGAAACUCUUAAACUUCAGACUGAAAAUGAUGCAUGUAAAUCUAAUAUGGAUAGAUUUAAACAGGAAAAUGAGAAUCUUCAGGGUGAAAUUGUGGGAAUCAGAAGUCAAUAUCAAAGGUUAGAGCAAGAAAGCAAUCAGUUACGAAGUGAAUUGGAGGUCAUGGAAGGAGAACAUGGAAGACUACAAUGUGAUUACAGUAUCCUUGAAGGAGAAAACAGUAGAGUGAGAGGGGAAUAUGAAGCUCUCUCUCAGGCUAACCAGAUGACUGAAGCUGAAAAAGAGAGUCUUGAGAGUGAAGUACAAAGAAUAACAGCUCAGAACACCACCAUUGCCUCAGAAAAUAAACAUCUACGGGACGAAAUUCAAAGACUAACAGAGGUCAGCACUUCAGCAGAAACAGAGAUCAAUCGUCAGAGAGUAGAAAUUGAGAGGUUUAGAUCACUCGACUCUCAUUAUAGAGAACUAGAAGGAAAAUAUACUGAACUGCAGAGCCAAGUUGCCUCUUUAGAAACUACACCAAGUAGCAAAAAUGUAUCUGCCUCUGAGCCAUAUGAUCUACUAGCAGAAGUUGACUGGAGUGCUGAAGGUAAAAUUGAAGAUGAACAUGUUUUGCAAUCCUCUGCUGACACAAAAUAUCAGGAGGAGAUAGAUUGCCUGAAGGAGAAACUGAUCACAUUAGAAAAGGAGAAGAACAGUAUCUAUGAUGAACUUCAGGCUGCCAAAUUAAAGAGUGGAAAGAUGUUACAAAAGCUGAAACUGACACAGAAUAAAAAUGAAGCUCUAAAUAAGGAAGUACAAAAGUUGAAGGCAAAAGCUGGAGGCUUCUCUGAUUUGGACCAGGCAUUGGAAGAAGAAUGGAAAGCUCAAGUUUCAAAAGCAGAGGCAGAGAGGGAUGAGAUGAAACAAAAAAUUGAUGAAAUGGAAUCUGAAAAAGAGAACUUAGUUAGUCAGAUUGAUGUGCUAACAGCAGCACAAGAGAAAUACUUGGAGCUGAAAGAGGACCAGGACCACACACUACAGCUCCUGAGGACACAUAACAAAGAAUUAGAAGGCCAAGUGCAUGCCUUGGAAUGGAGGGUUUCAGAGUUAGAAGAGAGUCUUGAAGAGCAUCAGAAAACAGAAUCUACAUCUCCAAGCUCUCCUGCUACUGUUCGAGGCACAUUAGAAACUAAGGAACCCACUCCUACACCAGAAGAAGUUGGGACAUUGUCAGAACAAGUCUUAGCCUUACAACAAGAAAUUACAAUCUUGAAGUCUGAAAAUAGCAGGUUAGAAACAUACAACAAAGAACUAGAAGAGAAGAUUGCACAGCUCAGUACUGAUAAUGAUUCCUUCCAGUCUAUUAUACAAAGUCUCAAAGAAGCUAAGACUAAAGCUGAAACAGAUAUCAACAAUUACAAGACAACCUAUAUUGAACUUGAUUCAGAACACACAUCUUUAAAGAAAGAAAAGGAGAAAGUGAAUGAAGAACUUAAAGAGCUCACAUAUGCCCACGACACUCUUGAAGCUGCCUACAACUCCAUGUUCUCUGAGUACAAUGACCUCCGUGAUGUUUGUGACAGCCACAAGCAUGAUGUAGGAAUCCUCAAAGGAGAGAGGGAUCGUCUUGUUGAGGAAGUUGACAGCCUGAAAAAACAGUUAGGAGCUUUACAUGAGGAAGAGGAGGAAGAGAUUAUUCGUGCCUUACAAGAUGAAUGUUUCAGUUUGAGGGAGCAGAAUAACUUGUUGCAUGAGGAGAACACUGCCUUAGAAGUCCAGGCCCAGGAUGCAAAAGAUAAAGCUACACGAGUCGGUUAUGCCUUGGAACAGAACGUUGAGGUGCAGAAACUUCUGCGAGAGGAGUUGACAAAGAAAUCUGAAGAAAUAUCCUUCCACAACACUACCAUCGAUGGGCAAGAUCGCCAGAUUGCCUACAUGAAGGCUGAAAUUGCUGCCAUGAAGUCCAAGCUAGCACAGCAUGACCAGGCUGAGGAAAGCAAUGAGGAGUUGACACAAAGACUUCAGCAGCAAGUCGAACAGUUAGAAGAAGUUAAUCAACAGCUGCAGCUCCAAGUUAAAGCAGCUGAAACUUCCCUCACAAAGUUAGCAAAGCCAGAGCAAGAAGAGGGUGGUGCUGCUUACACUUCUUUAAACACAAACUCGGAACUAGAAGCAGCUCUGGCCUCUUUACACCUGCGUGACUUACGAUGUCAGCAACUCUCCCUUGAGAUAACAAAGUUGCUCGAGGAAAGAGAUGCUUUACAACUGAAACUUAGUGCUUCCUUAAGGCAAACACAGGAGCUUACUCGUGAAUUGAGCUUGAGUCACCAUCUCCCAGCACCUGCCUCUCCUGCACCUUCUCUCCACCAAAAGCUUGCUGAGCUGAGAGAAUUGAAUGAUUCUCUGGAACAGAAAGCUUUAUCCAGUCUACAAGUGGCAUCUUCAAGUGGUUUAGCUCAAAGGGUAUCAGUACCUGGCCUGGCUGCUUCACCUAUGUUUGUGUCUCACACUGCCCCUCCAACUCCAACUGCCACUAGACAUGCUGACUACACACUUACUCGUGAAACCCAAGGGACAUCAUCUACACUCUUUGAUUGGUUGAUGGGGAAAAGCACACCACGGGUGAUGCACGUGUGACAAAGACUGAGGCUGAAUGGAGCACAACGGAAUCAUACAUCUCUGAUCUAAGGAGUCAUCCCCAAUGCAGGAAGAAGAUUACCUUUAUGUAGUACACUUCUUGACUGUAUCACCUUCACCUCUUGUUGCAAAGUGGAAAAGUUCAUUGAAACAUCCCAUAAUAUUUUUUUUAUUUAAGUACUGAAAUACUGAAAUCACUAUCCUUGACCAUUUAGAAUUUAAUAAAAUCAAAUUUAAGAUAAUUCAGCAAAGGUUUUGUAAAUAAACAAUUGCAUUAAAUAUCAUUGUACAUUGUGUCAGUCAAGAUAGCAUUCUAAAUCACUUAUACAGUAAUUAAGAAUAAAGCAAGUAACCUUAAAAACAGGUGCUAUCAAAACAAUGUCUGCCUGGUACCAUAAUAUUUCAAUAUUUUUUUUUUAUGAACACAGUACUAUACAUGUAAUAAUCAAAGUGCUUAAUUAUUAUAACUAUAUUCUAGCAAAAUAACAGACUUCAACUGUCAAUCACAUUGCAUGAUAAUUGUUAUAAUGAAGAGGCUCACAAAAUGUUACUCAUUGCACAAGUUACAUGUCCUUUCGGACAAGAUUUUUCAUAAGCAAUAUAACAGAAAAUAUAGAGGUUUUGACUGACACACACACACAAAAAAAAAAAAAAAGCAAGGAUUAAAAAAAUAUUAACAUCACAUGAAGAGUUAGUACCACAAAUUCUUAUACCACUACACUGGUGUAUUCCUGUUACACACACACACACACACACACACACACACACACACACACACACACACACACACACACACACACACACACUUAUAGCUAUUUGGUAUAUCACAGUGGAAAUGUCUUGAUGAAAAAUUUUGUAACUAGUAAAGUGUCUGUAGUA
This is an RNA transcript of Scylla paramamosain (green mud crab), 9595 nucleotides long. It is a transcript of the gene named golgin subfamily B member 1-like, with no coding region annotated. The record is from RefSeq and is a predicted model, not a curated record. The transcript is spliced from 12 exons. NCBI's taxonomy places the organism in Eukaryota, Metazoa, Arthropoda, Malacostraca, Decapoda, Portunidae.